UCAGUCACAGAUGGCUAACACAAGCUUUUCAGUUUCAGAACCAACAAGUCACUACUUCAUUGAUGACGGUAUGACAACAUGAUGUGCAAGACGUUUUGGCCACACAGCCACAACUGACCACCCAGCCAGCACAACAAGUGCCGCUAACCAGUAUACCAACGUUCCGGCAAUUUAAGAAAACAGAGGAGGAAUGGAUUGAAUACCCGACUUAGUUCAAAGCACAUUGUCAAGUUCAUUAUGUUCACGAUUCAUGGCCUCAUGGGAUCGUGCAGCCCGUGCGGCCUUAUCAGCCGCCCGCUGGUGCCACCUGGGCACCCCAGGAGGAGUGGUUGGAUGAAGCGUCCCCGCUGACCCUGCUCGCCAACCCGAUGGACGUGGACCCAUCAUCGUCGUCAUCACCCUCAGGCCUGGAUGUGUGCCCAGACAGCAGUUUUCCACAGGAUGUUCCUGUUGCCUUGCAAGCCAUAUGGUGGGGUACGGUGGGGAGUACACCAUCGUCCACAGUCAUGGCUCCCAGCUCAUGUCUACAUUCAGCAUCCUGUCAGCUCAUGUCUACAUUCAGCAUCCUGUCCCCCCACCCCCCACAAUUGCCAUUUGUAUCCUCUCUAUACGUCACAAUGGUGCGGUAUUUUUGGGGGGAAAGGGGGGGGGGGGGGACUAAUGUGCUGGCGUAAACAGUUGCCAGCAUACCGGUUGGCAAAGAUGAAGUGCGAAGAUCAACUAGUAGGUGCUGGAUUGAGUGCGCUUAUCAUGAGAGAGGCCAGAGACACACCCACAAGUGACAUGCUGCCAACGCCCUCUCGACAGCAUGCAUUUAAGCUGCUGCUGACCGGAGGGCCUUGCUCACUCACUCAUCCAGUUUGGCGGCUGUCAGUUUACUCACAGAGCAGGUUAAGUUCAUCACAGACUAUGACAGUCCAUAGUGACCAGAUUAGUGACUACAGUGGGACUAUUACUGAACAGCUUGCACCACAAACAUGGACUCAAUUCAAGUUAAGUAAAUGUUCCAUUUCUUGUAAAUAAAGAACUGUAUUAAUCCA
This is a long non-coding RNA of Schistocerca americana (American grasshopper), 1040 nucleotides long. RefSeq lists it as uncharacterized. The transcript is spliced from 2 exons. The record is from RefSeq and is a predicted model, not a curated record. Lineage: Eukaryota; Metazoa; Arthropoda; Insecta; Orthoptera; Acrididae.